Phyllostomus hastatus (greater spear-nosed bat) is the source of this 165-nucleotide small nucleolar RNA. Lineage: Eukaryota; Metazoa; Chordata; Mammalia; Chiroptera; Phyllostomidae. The record is from RefSeq and is a predicted model, not a curated record.
GGCCGUGCAGGGGCGAUGCAGAGGUCUGUGUGUUCCCUGGAAGGGCGGGCCAACAAGAAGUCCUUCCUGCUUCGGAGCGACCUCUCUCCCGUAGACAGGGUUCUUCCCUGCUGCCAGGAAGAAGUUGGGGUGUCUGGGGUGAGAGAGCAGGGGCAGGGCGUGUUC